Molecule: unclassified non-coding RNA, 283 nt
Filed under: Hevea brasiliensis (rubber tree)
Lineage: Eukaryota; Viridiplantae; Streptophyta; Magnoliopsida; Malpighiales; Euphorbiaceae
Source: RNAcentral
AGAGAAGAAAAAAGAGAGCAAAAUUUGGAUACACCUUAGGUAAUAUGAUACACCUUUUUGUUUGUACAUAAAAGAACGCUAGUAAGUAGAAGUGCAUGACGGCUUUAAAGCAUAUGUUGUUUGUUUUAUGAACUCUGGUUGUUUCCUUAAUUAAUUAACUAAUAGUGUUUAGUAAACACAAUAUACAUAUACAUAUGUGUGCCUGUAUGGAAGAAGCUUAUGGCUCAUUUGAGGUUGAGCUAGGAAGGCCAAAAAAGCUCUUUUUGGAAAAACACCAUUUUAG